AUCACUUCUUGGCCUUUUGGCUAAGAUCAAGUGUAGUAUCUGUUCUUAUCAGUUUAAUAUCUGAUAUGUCCUCUAUCUGAGGACAAUAUAUUAAAAGGAUUUUUGGAGCUUGAAGUUGGAAUAGGAGCUUACUCCAUCCACUCCAUGCAUCAACCUGGUAUUGUAGUACUUCCAGGAAUGGUGCACCCUCU
RNAcentral lists this small nuclear RNA (191 nucleotides) under Jaculus jaculus (lesser Egyptian jerboa). Its description in RNAcentral is "U2 spliceosomal RNA (ENSJJAG00000004823.1)". It matches the Rfam family "U2 spliceosomal RNA". From Rfam's summary of the family: U2 is a small nuclear RNA (snRNA) component of the spliceosome (involved in pre-mRNA splicing). Lineage: Eukaryota; Metazoa; Chordata; Mammalia; Rodentia; Dipodidae. The record is from Rfam by way of RNAcentral.